UGUGCUUCUCAGCCUUCUGGCUAAGAUCAAGUGUAGUAUCUGUCCUUAUCAGUUUAAUUUUUGUCUCUCAUUAUUAAAAUACAAUCUAUAUAAGAAAUUUCUUUUUUUUCUCUGCCAUAUAGGACCUAGAUUAGAACCUGGCAUUUGUGUGAGUGAGUGUAUCUUUUCAUUAUUUUCCUUUGCAGUCUCCUCCUU
RNAcentral lists this small nuclear RNA (195 nucleotides) under Pongo abelii (Sumatran orangutan). The stretch from base 1 to 130 matches the Rfam family "U2 spliceosomal RNA". From Rfam's summary of the family: U2 is a small nuclear RNA (snRNA) component of the spliceosome (involved in pre-mRNA splicing). Complementary binding between U2 snRNA (in an area lying towards the 5' end but 3' to hairpin I) and the branchpoint sequence (BPS) of the intron results the bulging out of an unpaired adenosine, on the BPS, which initiates a nucleophilic attack at the intronic 5' splice site, thus starting the first of two transesterification reactions that mediate splicing. The record is from RNAcentral. Lineage: Eukaryota; Metazoa; Chordata; Mammalia; Primates; Hominidae.